RNAcentral lists this non-coding RNA (23 nucleotides) under Cricetulus griseus (Chinese hamster). Lineage: Eukaryota; Metazoa; Chordata; Mammalia; Rodentia; Cricetidae. The record is from RNAcentral.
CGCUAUGAUGAAGGCUAUGUUGG